UACGGAGGGGGCUAGCGUUGUUCGGAAUUACUGGGCGUAAAGCGCACGUAGGCGGACUUGUAAGUCAGGGGUGAAAUCCCGAGGCUCAACCUCGGAACUGCCUUUGAUACUGGAUGUCUUGAGUUCGGGAGAGGUGAGUGGAAUGCCGAGUGUAGAGGUGAAAUUCGUAGAUAUUCGGCGGAACACCAGUGGCGAAGGCGACUCACUGGCCCGAUACUGACGCUGAGGCGCGAAAGCGUGGGGAGCAAACAGG
Molecule: ribosomal RNA, 253 nt
Filed under: uncultured bacterium
Lineage: Bacteria
Description: partial 16S ribosomal RNA
Rfam family: Bacterial small subunit ribosomal RNA
Source: RNAcentral